AACGAACGCUGGCGGCAGGCUUAACACAUGCAAGUCGAACGCACCGCAAGGAGAGUGGCAGACGGGUGAGUAACACGUGGGGAUCUGCCCAAUGGUAGGGAAUAGCAGCGGGAAAAUGGAAUUAAUACCGUAAGCGCCCUUCGGGGGAAAGAUUUGUUGCAGUUGGAUGAACCCGCGUCGGAUUAGCUAGUUGGUGAGGUAAAGGCUCACCAAGGCGACGAUCCGUAGCUGGUCUGAGAGGAUGAUCAGCCACACUGGGACUGAGACACGGCCCAGACUCCUACGGGAGGCAGCUGUGGGGAAUAUUGGACAAUGGGCGCAAGCCUGAUCCAGCCAUGCCGCGUGAGUGAUGAAGGCCUUAGGGUUGUAAAGCUCUUUCGCCGACGAAGAUAAUGACGGUAGUCGGAGAAGAAGCCCCGGCUAACUUCGUGCCAGCCGCCGCAGUAA
RNAcentral lists this ribosomal RNA (447 nucleotides) under uncultured bacterium. Its description in RNAcentral is "partial 16S ribosomal RNA". It matches the Rfam family "Bacterial small subunit ribosomal RNA", at positions 29 to 523 of the family's 1533-position model. The record is from RNAcentral.